Molecule: long non-coding RNA, 980 nt
Filed under: Cricetulus griseus (Chinese hamster)
Lineage: Eukaryota; Metazoa; Chordata; Mammalia; Rodentia; Cricetidae
Description: lncRNA (ENSCGRG00000025150.1)
Source: RNAcentral
AUUGGUCAGCCUGGCUGUCAAUCAGAGCAUCGAGCAGGCGGAGCUUCGAGGACGGAAGAGCCAAACUUUCCUUUGGCUGAGGAAGAGGGAGAAGGUGAAGCCCCACAGCCUUCGGGCCAGGGCACCUGCAUGGAAAUGGUCUGCGACAUUAACCAUCCCAUGACUGUGGCUCAGGUGGUAGAGAGAUUUUUCUAGGAUGCACGAGUUCCUGGGUUCGAUCCCCAGCACCACACGAAGACCAAGAUCACAGAUACAGACUGAGUUGGAGACCAGCCUGGGAUAUGAGAUUCCGGAUACCUGCCUGAGAGCAAUUAACAUUCAUUCCUCCCCCACCUCCUUUUUCUCUGCUUCCUCCUUUCUCUAUAAAAACCCCUUGUAAUAAUCAAUAAAUGGGCCUUGACAAGAAAACCUGCUUGGUCCCGCUCUUUCUUUCCCGCCCAUCAUUUUCAGGCGUGAUCCACCUCGGACUCAGGAAUUACCGGAGCCCCGAGGGCCGGGGUACACCCUGACCCUGAAACCAGUGCCAGAGAAACACACUUUGGCCCUGGAAUCAGAGCCAGUGAAAGAAAUACACCCUGGCUCUAAAAUCACAGUCAAAAGGCUAAAAAGGACCAGUGAAAGGAACACACUUUGGCCCUGAAACCAGAGCCAAAUCUAACCCUAAACCUGUGCAGAAAACCAACCAAUCCCUGAGCAGGAGAUCUAGCCAUUCUGAGCUCAGGGAUUGAAAUCUGACCAAUCCCCACCCUGGAAAUCUCCCUGGGAAAACUCUGCCCCCCCCCUAAGAAUCCCUAUAUAAACCCUGUGCCUGUUCAGCUUCAGGCUGCCUGGCUGCCCUCUGCCACUGGAUUCUUGAAUGAGGUUUGGGUAAGAACUUUCGCCGGAGCAGAGACCACCCUACACACUGGCUCUCCAGGGGACUGGAGUUGAACUGUUACAAUUUAACCAGGGAAACCCUCUCCUCCCCAAGCAGAGCUGAU